This is a long non-coding RNA of Mercenaria mercenaria, 391 nucleotides long. RefSeq lists it as uncharacterized. The transcript is spliced from 3 exons. The record is from RefSeq and is a predicted model, not a curated record. NCBI's taxonomy places the organism in Eukaryota, Metazoa, Mollusca, Bivalvia, Venerida, Veneridae.
UUGCUGAGAAAAUUCCAGAGAUAUACAUCCCUCAUCAAGAGUCCUGGUAUCAGUAAAGAAAUGGUUGGAGAAAGAGAGACAUUGCUUGGCCAGCUGACUGUACAUCAAAAGUCAUUGCAACAGAACUUCAGUGACGUUAGUGGCGGGAGAGCACCUAAGGGAAAGAACUUGCCUGAGUUUGUCAACACUAUUGUAUAUGUGAGACAGAUAGAAGCUAAGCUAGAAGAGAACAUAAAGACUGCAGAAUGUUUACUCAGUGAUCUGAGCGGAUUCUAGAGAUUUAGAAACUUUAAGGAUGCUACAGAGUUCCUUGAUGAGAUGGUCAACUGGAGACAGGAGGCUUUUGACGAGUGUUCACGUGACAUACAGGCGCUCAUUGAUGACACAAAAA